This 518-nucleotide ribosomal RNA is filed under the name uncultured bacterium. Its description in RNAcentral is "bacterial SSU rRNA". It matches the Rfam family "Bacterial small subunit ribosomal RNA", at positions 1 to 513 of the family's 1533-position model. The record is from RNAcentral.
UAGAGUUUGAUCAUGGCUCAGAGUGAACGCUGGCGGCGUGGAUUAGGCAUGCAAGUCGAACGAUACCGCAAGGUAUAGUGGCAAAAGGGCGAGUAACACGUGAGUAAUCUGCCUUCGAGUGGGGAACAACCUUGGGAAACCGAGGCUAAAACCGCAUAAGACCACGGCCUGGCAUCAGGCUGUGAUCAAAUGGGGGGACCGUAAGGCCUCUAGCUUGAAGAUGAGCUCGCGUCCUAUCAGCUUGUUGGCGGGGUAAUGGCCCACCAAGGCUUUUGACGGGUAGCUGGACUGAGAGGUUGGUCAGCCGCAUUGGGACUGAGACACUGCCCAGACUCCUACGGGAGGCUGCAGUCGAGGAUAUUUAGCAAUGCCCGAAAGGGUGACUAUGCGACGCCGCGUGCGCGAUGAAGGUCUUCGGAUUGUAAAGCGCUGUCAGCCGGGAGGAAUCUCGGGGGCUUUAACAAAGCCGCCGGGUGACAGUACCGGCAGAGGAAGCCACGGCUAACUCCGUGCCAGCA